GAACCGGGCGAACGUUAUUCGGAAUUACUGGGCUUAAAGGGUGCGUAGGCGGCGUUUCAAGUCGGGUGUGAAAUCCCCCAGCUCAACUGGGGAACUGCGCCCGAAACUGGAGUGCUCGAGGGAGAUAGAGGUGAGCGGAACGAAUGGUGGAGCGGUGAAAUGCGUUGAUAUCAUUCGGAACACCCGUGGCGAAAGCGGCUCACUGGGUCUCUUCUGACGCUGAGGCACGAAAGCUAGGGGAGCGAACGGGAUUAGAUACCCCGGGUAGUCCUAGCUGUAAACGAUGAGCACUAGGUCGGGGAGCCCCUCCCACAGCCUCCCCGAUCGUAGCGAAAGUGUUAAGUGCUCCGCCUGGGGGAGUAUGGUCGCAAGGCUG
Molecule: ribosomal RNA, 376 nt
Filed under: uncultured organism
Description: partial 16S ribosomal RNA
Rfam family: Bacterial small subunit ribosomal RNA
Source: RNAcentral